Molecule: non-coding RNA, 3206 nt
Organism: Miniopterus natalensis
Lineage: Eukaryota; Metazoa; Chordata; Mammalia; Chiroptera; Miniopteridae
Source: RefSeq, a predicted model, not a curated record
AGACCACCCCGGGGCAAGGGCUAGGCUGAGAGAGGACACAUUAUACAGCAACAGGGAAAAGGGCAUUUGGGCCACUGCUUACAUAAGUUCUUUGUUCCUUCAUGCUCUGCCCAAGGUGAAUCCUGUAUGUGCCACUUUAAGUUGGUGUAGUCCUCCUGCGGUUGGCCUCUUUAUGACUCUGCGAGUGACAUCACACCCAGGUCAUAAUGGACAGCUCAGGUUGCAUGGUAACUUGGUAGCCCCUGGUUGAGCAUUUCUUUGAAACCGAGGUAACUCUCUGGGACAAAUCACUGUCCUUCUUCAGGGUGAUGGCAGCCCCUUGCCCUGAAUGUUUGCCCCUCCUCGCCAGGGCUACUUUGGGCAAAAGAGGGAAGCCACCUGUGAUACCCUCAUGGACGUCAGCCAGAGACUGGAACACUUGCCUCCCUACGGGUGUCUGGGGAUCCAGGAAGCCUGUGGUGCUUGGCCUCUGGAGUUAUUUCUUCCCAGCUCUCUACAACCCAGUGAACCACGAUGUUCGGGUUUGCCAGCUUCCUACCAGGAAGUUUUCAGUUGUUCUCAUAUGUGGCUUGGAACCUUUGAGAUAUACUCAUGUCUUAAAGCUCUUCCAGAUGAACCUGGAGUCUUGGAUAUAAAUCAAGGGACACAUCCAUGCCUGCUGUUGUGGACCACUCAGAAACUUUUCAGGACCACUAUGUCCUCACAGCAGAAGAUGAAGGUAGAUAGGAAGCCCAUUGGAUUGACCCAGGGCUCCUCACUCCUGCGUCUCGUGAUGCUGCAGCUCAUGUCAACGAAUCUUCCUUAACUCACGGCUGACGCCCUACAGCACACCUACUGCCCAGUCUCAACAGAGGAUCCACCUCACCCUCAGUGAACAAAAGGUCACAGGAGGCUCUCCCUGAGUCCACAGGUCUAGACAGAAAGAGGGAUCCCUUGUAUAGCAGAGAACCACAGGGGCAAUUGGGCCAACCCUUCUAUUGCUGCUUUGGUCCUCCCAGGUUUGAUCAUGUAUCUACCACUUUAAAUUGAUGAUGUCUUCCUUUGAAUGGCCUCUUUAUGACUCCGUGAGUGACAUCAUACCAGGUCAUAAUGGACAGCUCAGGUGGCAUGGUGACUUGGUGGCUCCUGGUUAAGCAUUUCUUCUUUGAAACCAAGGUCUUUUGGGACCCAGGAAGCCUGUGGUGCUUGGCCUCUGGAGUUAUUUCUUCCCAGCUCUCUACAGCCCAGUGAACUAGGAUGUUUGGGUUUGCCAGCUUCCUACCAGGAACCUUUCAGUUCUUCUCAUAUCUGGCUUGCAACCACUGAGACCAAAAUCUACUCAUGUCUUAAAGCUCUUCCAGCUGAACCUGGAGUCUUGAAUAUAAAUCAAGGGACACAUCCAUGCCUGCUGUUGUGGACCACUCAGAAAUAUUUCAGGACCACUAUGUCAUUACUACAGACAUUGAAACUAGAUAGCAGGAAACCCAUUGGAUUGACCCAAGGCUCUUCACUCCUGCAUCUCAUGAUGCUGCAGCCAAUAUUCAGAUACUGUCUUGGUGGGAUGGACUCUGGAAUCAGAAAUUGGCUUUUGAACUAUUAAUGAUUGAUUCUCUCCUUUUCAUAUAAAGUAAUCUUCCUUAACUGUCUGGCAGCUAACGCCCUACAGCACACCUUCUACUGCCCAGUCUCAGCAGAGGAUGCACCUCACCCUCAGUGAACAAAAGGUCACAGGAGGCUCCCCAUGAGCCUACGAGUCUAGGCAGAAAGAGGGAUCCCUUGCAUAGCAGAGGGGAACGAGGGCAAUUGGGCCAACUCUUCUGUUACUGCUUUGGUUCUCCCAGGUUCGAUCCUGUAUCUACCACUUUAAAUUGGUGUAGUCCUCCUGCGGUUGGCCGCUUUAUGAUUCUGGGGGUGACAUCACACCCAGGUCAUAAUGGACAGCUCAGGUUGCAUGGUAACCUGGUGGCCCCUGGUUGAGCAUUUCUUCUUUGAAACCGAGUUCUCUUGGGAGCCAGGAUCCCUCUGGAGCUUGCCUGUAGGGUAACCUCCUGCCCAGCUCUCUGCAACCCAGUGAACCAUGAUGAUGAAGUUUGCCAGUUUUCUACUAUGAAUGUUUCCAGUUUUUCUCACAUCUGUCUUAGAACCAGAGACAAAAAUCUCGUCAUGUCUUGAAGCUCUUCAAACAGGUUUUACUUGGUCCACUGGAUUUGCAGUGCCACCUGGCAUGAGGAAAUCCGGACACAGUCAGCCUCACUCAGAAGCUCCCAGCAAGUUGUCCUCAGUCUCUGCUGGAGAAAAUGCUGAGUUGAAACUGAGAGAGAGAUACAUUUUCAAGGCUGAAGGGAGAAAAGAACAAGGUGUAAUUAUGAAAAGCUAAGAAUUCAGGAAAGAAUCACCAGAGAAGGAAUUAAAAACAAGAUUUUAUGUGAAAGCGCCCACCUCGAUCCUGAAAGAAAACAAACCCACCGUAACAGCGGCCACUGAGCAGAGUCUCCAGCACAGAGACCCAAAGACAACUGCUGAAGUCACUGUGAACAAAAUCAAGAUGACCUACGUAAAACAGCGUAUGUACCAUAAGAAGGCUUUCAAUCAAGUAAAUAAAGUAUGUGUAAGUUGUAAAAAAAAAAAAAAAAAUGUUCUUUGACAUUUUUUUUUUUUGGUUUGGCAAACUUUUGAAGUCAGUCUCAGAAUUCUUUGAAGUAGCUACUGAACCUCGUUAUUGUCACCCCACUGUGUCUGGUCCCUUCCUCCCUCUCUAGCUCACACUGGUCACCCUUCUGCCUCAGCAAGGUCAUGAGAGGGACCCUGUCCCUGGGGCUGGUCUCCACCCACUUCAUUCAAUCUUACAAAUACAGUAUAGCAAAAGCAUUCCACAGUUUGAGCAGUCAGUGCUCUAAACUACUCCAAAAAUCAUUAAGUCCUUAUUUCCUUUUCUUUCCCCCCAUUUUUUUUUGAAUUUGACUUAAAAACAUUUUUAAUGCAAUGAUAGAAACUGUUAGGACUACAGGAAAGGUAAGGGGGAGGCAGGGAAUAAUUCCAACAGGAAACACUUGCUAGAGUCGUAUUGAGGAAUGAUCUUUAAUGAUUUCUAGUGUUUUUAAAUAAUCAGAUAUAUGCCUAUAUAUUUUUUGCCAUGUUGAACUUAUUUGUAAAGGAAGUGUGUGCUAAUGUGACGAACUGAAAGAUUAACCAAUUCAAAAAUUAGGAAAUUAAAGCCCACAUCAGCA